AUUGAACGCUGGCGGAAUGCUUUACACAUGCAAGUCGAACUGCAGCACGGGGCAACCUGGUGGCGAGUGGCGAACGGGUGAGUAAUACAUCGGAACGUGCCCAAUCGUGGGGGAUAACGUAGCGAAAACUACGCUAAUACCGCAUACGAUCUACGGAUGAAAGCGGGGGAUCGCAAGACCUCGCGCGAAUGGAGCGGCCGAUGGCAGAUUAGGUAGUUGGUGGGGUAAAGGCUCACCAAGCCGACGAUCUGUAGCUGGUCUGAGAGGACGACCAGCCACACUGGGACUGAGACACGGCCCAGACUCCUACGGGAGGCAGCAGUGGGGAAUUUUGGACAAUGGGCGCAAGCCUGAUCCAGCCAUUCCGCGUGCAGGAUGAGGGCCUUCGGGUUGUAAACUGCUUUUGUACGGAACGAAAAGGCUCUGGUUAAUACCCGGGGCUCAUGACGGUACCGUAAGAAUAAGCACCGGCUAACUACGUGCCAGCCGCCGCCGUAA
This 498-nucleotide ribosomal RNA is filed under the name uncultured bacterium. Its description in RNAcentral is "partial 16S ribosomal RNA". It matches the Rfam family "Bacterial small subunit ribosomal RNA", at positions 30 to 523 of the family's 1533-position model. The record is from RNAcentral.